Molecule: long non-coding RNA, 2086 nt
Organism: Ahaetulla prasina
Lineage: Eukaryota; Metazoa; Chordata; Lepidosauria; Squamata; Colubridae
Exons: 3
Source: RefSeq, a predicted model, not a curated record
CCUAGGCUAUAUUAACAAAGGGAUAGAAUCAAGAUCCUGUGAAGUGUUAGUAUCAGUGGUGGGUUGCUCACAGUUCGGUAGUAGAAGCAGCAGGAGGCUCCCCCCACCCACCUGGACAUCUUCAGGUAUGAUCUGCACAUGCACAGAAGCUUCUGCACAUGCGCAAAAGUGCACAUGCACUCCCGUUGUGAAUUGGUAGUAAAGUCCCUUCUAGAGUUUCCAGAGACGCAACACUGUUGUUCAAGAGAGGAGUUACAUUAGCCUUCAAUGCUGUAGGAGGGUUCCUGUGUGAGCAAGGCAUCAAUGAACAUAGUGAUAAAUACUGCAUUUGGGCCAUUCAAACGGUGAAUCUAUUGUGGACCUAAGCAUGGAAAAUGAAAAAUGUGGCUUCCAUUUUCAGAAUGAUGUUCAGAUGUCAGUCAUGAGACAAUUGUAACCCUGAAGCUUAUAAAGUAAAAGGCAAGCAAUCAUGGCCUCCAAGAGAUGGAGAAAGAAGAAAGCAAUUUUGGUACAGUUAGAGGAAUCCUGAUUCCACAUUUUGGGGACUACAAUAUUCAAUAAUCUAUCAAUCUAUCAAUCUGUCUGUCAUCCAUCCAUCCAUCCAUCCAUCCAUCCAUCCAUCCAUCCAUCCAUCCAUUUAUUCAAAUGCCACCCAUCUCACUAUCAAGCGACUCCGGCACUUUGCCCUCUGAAUUAGCUGAAAUUGAGGACCUGUAGUCUAAAAUUUAUGGCGCUCUCCAGGUUACCAAGCACCAGUUUGCCAAGCUGUGGCUUUGAUCAGCUGCAGGUAGCAAACUAUAGUCAGAUAGCUUAACAGAGUGGCUGCCGGGAAAACAACUGAGUAGCCCAAAGGCAUUGGUUCUCUAUUCAGUAUUGAUUCUGUAGUCAUAUAAAAUACUGGGAGUUUAUACUGUAAUUAGAAAUCCCUGGUUACAUCACUGAAUUCCAGGUUAAAGUUUCCCAUGGGCGGAAACAACUUAAUAUGCUUUGAAUAUAAUUGGCAUCACUUGCAUUACAUAGGCUCAAUAAAAAAUAUAUGUUUUGGGAAUCCAUCACAACAUCUCUGUGACAUUUGCUUUUGAGCAAAGAGCCCAUCUCAGCAGAAAGGACUUGCAGAGAUGGGUCUCCAGAUUCUCAUCUAAUUGUUUAUAUGAACAAACACUACUCUGAUAGAAAACCUGGAAGUGAAUCCUGGAAUAAACUUUCUCCACAUAAAAUAUUCAAGGAAUUUCAGGAAAAUGUCAAAGUUUUUUGGUUCAGUGGUUUGAUUUUGGGACCUUAUCAGUGCAUUUGCUUUGGCCUUCUUUAAGGUCACAUCAGUACAUUUUGUUAGAAGGGACAUUCAGUUGGUUAGAAAAGUUUUUAUCAGUAAAACAUUUGGUAGAAAGCUAGUGCAGUUCUGAUGUUGGAACCAUACAGAAGGAAGGAAGGAAGGAAGGAAGGAAGGAAGGAAGGAAGGAAGGAAGGAAGGAAGGAAGGAAGGAAGGAAGGCUCUUGUUUGUAGUUUUAAUGUUUGUACUUUUUAAUGCAAAAUUGUCUUGACAAUCAACUCCUGAGCUGAAUGGAUUUUACUUCCAAGAAAUUGUAAACAAAACUGCAGAACAAUUGGACACUUCUGAGUAAAUGUACAUAUGAGUACAGUCUGACUUACUAGAUUGCUGAAAGUUUUCUUUUCUUUUAAAACAUUUCUUAAUGUGAAACGCAAUAUCUUUUGAUUUGAUUGCAUUUGAUUUUCAGAUACUGUCACCAACUGGAUUUUGAGAUGGGUGGGAAUAAAUGUAUUGGAAAAUGUUAAUAUGAUUCUAUCUAUAAUACUAGUUAUUUUUCCAAUCACAGGUAAAAAUAAAGGAUUCUGUGUCAAACAUCUAUCCACUUUAUUGGUCUGUGGGAAAACAACGACUAUCUAGGGGAAGAAAAAUAAUAAUAAUAAAAAUCCAUAGCAAAAUCUGCCUGUCCUUUUCAUUAGAUAUAGUUCAAAUUGUCUACAGGGUGUUUUUUAUCCUCAUUUUGCUUGUUUUUCUCCUCCUAGAGAAUACCCCAUAUCCAGCAACGUUCACCCAGAGUGUGCAAGAAUGCUGAGUUGUCG